This 1014-nucleotide long non-coding RNA is filed under the name Amborella trichopoda. RNAcentral describes it as "long non-coding RNA (ATRI_LNC002034)". Lineage: Eukaryota; Viridiplantae; Streptophyta; Magnoliopsida; Amborellales; Amborellaceae. The record is from RNAcentral.
UGUUAAUUGGAGUAAUGGGGGGCAAUGUAUUAGUUUCUCGUUAGAUUUCUUGUGUUGAAUUGAUGAGGGGCAGUGUAUUGGUUUCUUCUUAGGACUCUCUCUCUCUCUAUCUCUCUCUCAUGCCAACCCAUUAAUCUUACUGAUUUUUUGGCCUCUCUGAUUUUUUGCUCUCUCUGAUUUUUUCUCUUCCCCAUCAGAAAUCCUCCUUGUUGACACCGAAACCAAUGUUUUUUAAAAAUAAAACCCCUGCCUCGGCAUCCUCUGCCUUCCCCAACCUUAGCAAAAAAGACCCAUAUCUCCUCAUUUUUCUCUUAUUCUCUCCCUCUUCCCUACCAAGAACCAAGUUUGGUAUAUAAACCCUCAUACCACUUUCCCCAAAUGGAAAAUCAUAAGGGCAAACCAUCACAUUAGGCUCAAAAUCCUUAGCUAGGUGAUGCACAUAGUGACCUCUAGCUAGUGGAUUUUACCUCUCUAAAUCUCAUCAAAUUUCUGGCCACUAAACUCUAAUGGCUUGCUUAGAAUCCUCCAAAACCAAUCAGAAUUUCCACUGGAUUCUGGAGAGUUCUGUCCAAUUCUGGCAGAGGCAAAACCAUCCCAAAUAUCCCUAGCCUCGCCACCUGGGCCCCAUGGUUGGGCAUCAAUGACUGUACCAUCAUAGCGUGAGAUUAAGUAUGGAUUAUUUUCAUCAAUUAGUGGGUAUCCAUGGAUAUAACGGUAAAAACCAGGGGAAUAUAUGAUGCAUGGGUAAAAGGCCACAACUGAACCAACCUCCACCUAACCCUUCAUAAAAACGCCAGUUCUUGCUUCUUCGUGGUGAAUUCCCGAGGUUUUAGCUCGAGAGUGUAACCGAUCUUUUCCUUGAGGAGUUCUGAGACAUCCUGUGUCUGUAGCCAAUGGAGAUGAUUUUUGAGUUUGUUUAGUUUUACUUAGCUUCAAUUAUGUUGCUACCAUGCUUCUUUUGCUACCUUUCUUUUUUUUAAUAAAUAAUGUCUAUGAUAUGCAGUUAUGAUGUGG